RNAcentral lists this transfer RNA (72 nucleotides) under Fukomys damarensis (Damara mole-rat). It matches the Rfam family "tRNA". Rfam says of the family: Transfer RNA (tRNA) molecules are approximately 80 nucleotides in length. Their secondary structure includes four short double-helical elements and three loops (D, anti-codon, and T loops). Lineage: Eukaryota; Metazoa; Chordata; Mammalia; Rodentia; Bathyergidae. The record is from Rfam by way of RNAcentral.
GGGGGUACAGCUCAAUGGCAGAGCACUUGCUUGGCACGCACAAGGCUCUGGGUUUAAUCCCCAGUACCACAA